Molecule: ribosomal RNA, 859 nt
Filed under: uncultured Neocallimastigales
Lineage: Eukaryota; Fungi; Neocallimastigomycota; Neocallimastigomycetes; Neocallimastigales
Description: partial large subunit ribosomal RNA
Rfam family: Eukaryotic large subunit ribosomal RNA
Source: RNAcentral
CGCAUCUGUGCAUGCAGCAUAUCAAUAAGCGGAGGAAAAGAGGGCUACUACCUACGCUUAGGAUGUUGAAGAUGUAGCACAUCAUACACGCAUGACACACUGCAUAUCAAUAAGCGGAGGAAAAGAAACUAACAAGGAUUCCCCUAGUAACGGCGAGUGAAGCGGGAAGAGCUCAAAUUUGAAAUCUUAAAGGGUUUCCCUUUACGAAUUGUAGUUUAAAGAAGUGUUUUCUGUUGAGGUUUUGGUAAAAGUUCUUUGGAAUAGGACAUCAUAGAGGGUGAGAAUCCCGUAUUUGACCUUUACUUUCAACUUUGUGAUACACUUUCAAAGAGUCGGAUUGUUUGGGAAUGCAGUCCAAAAUGGGUGGUAAAUUUCAUCUAAAGCUAAAUAUUGGCGAGAGACCGAUAGCGAACAAGUACCGUGAGGGAAAGAUGAAAAGAACUUUGAAAAGAGAGUUAAACAGUACGUGAAAUUGUCAAAAGGGAAGCGUUUGACACCAGUGUUGUUUUUCUGAAAAUCAAUUAAAGAACUGUUUAUGCUAAGUUGUUUAGACUUUAUCAGCUAACUGUUUAGUUUUGAGCUUUUCUUUAAUGCACUUUUCAGUUAACAAGUCAACAUCAAUUUCUUUUGCUGUAAAAAAGCUUGAGGAAGGUGGCUUGAGAUUCGUCUUAAGUGUUUAUAGCCUCUUGCCUAUGCAGUCGGAGAGAUUGAGGUCUGCAGCGUAGAUCCUUCGGGGCUAAAUGCAUUUGUGCUAAGUUAUAGCAUUUUAUAGACAACUUGUUGACUAUGAUUUGUCUUGUAGCUUACUCGCUUAUGUUAUUUUACCUACGCUUAGGAUGUUGAAGAUGUAGCACAUCAU